Molecule: ribosomal RNA, 255 nt
Filed under: Triticum aestivum (bread wheat)
Lineage: Eukaryota; Viridiplantae; Streptophyta; Magnoliopsida; Poales; Poaceae
Description: partial small subunit ribosomal RNA
Source: RNAcentral
AUGACCACGACCACGUGGAUUGCGUCAUCUAGUAUAUCUCAAUGGAUUUUGCUUUUAUUGUUUCCAUGUUACUCGGUGUUACAUUUUGUUUCUUGCCUGACCACCAUUUUCUUUGGCAUAUCCUACGUUUAUGGAAUACUGAAUAAUGUUGUUGAUGAAGCUCAAGCAAGCUAUGCUACUGAGAUUAAUGCAGUCCUUCAUGAUGACAAUUCAGUUAGUGUAACUGACAAUUGCCGUGGGGUAUGCAGUUCCUAA